Acanthosepion pharaonis is the source of this 98-nucleotide non-coding RNA. Lineage: Eukaryota; Metazoa; Mollusca; Cephalopoda; Sepiida; Sepiidae. The record is from the annotation of a GenBank genome assembly.
UCAAACACCAGUCCCCCAGACGAUCACCAAAGUUAAGCAAUGUUGAGCCUGGUAAGUAUCUAAAUGGGUGACCACUUGGGAAUAUCUGGUGCUGUAAG